UAGGGAAUCUUCCACAAUGGACGCAAGUCUGAUGGAGCAACGCCGCGUGAGUGAAGAAGGUCUUCGGAUCGUAAAGCUCUGUUGUUGGUGAAGAAGGAUAGAAGCAGUAACUGGUCUUUAUUUGACGGUAAUCAACCAGAAAGUCACGGCUAACUACGUGCCAGCAGCCGCGGUAAUACGUAGGUGGCAAGCGUUGUCCGGAUUUAUUGGGCGUAAAGCGAGCGCAGGCGGAAUGAUAAGUCNGAUGUGAAAGCCCACGGCUCAACCGUGGAACUGCAUCGGAAACUGUCAUUCUUGAGUGCAGAAGAGGAGAGUGGAACUCCAUGUGUAGCGGUGGAAUGCGUAGAUAUAUGGAAGAACACCAGUGGCGAAGGCGGCUCUCUGGUCUGCAACUGACGCUGAGGCUCGAAAGCAUGGGUAGCGAACAGGAUUAGAU
Molecule: ribosomal RNA, 436 nt
Filed under: uncultured bacterium
Lineage: Bacteria
Description: partial 16S ribosomal RNA
Rfam family: Bacterial small subunit ribosomal RNA
Source: RNAcentral